This 2446-nucleotide long non-coding RNA is filed under the name Capra hircus (goat). RNAcentral describes it as "lncRNA (ENSCHIG00000005216.1)". The record is from RNAcentral. Lineage: Eukaryota; Metazoa; Chordata; Mammalia; Artiodactyla; Bovidae.
GGGGAAAGGAAUGUAUGUAUAAGUGCCAAUCAUUUUACCAAGCUGUUAGUUCUUGAGGCUGAAUACCAGGAGCUGUUUUGGCAGCUAGUAUAAUAGAAGUAACAGGGAAUGGCAAGAGAAGGCUGUUCCAGUUUCUCUUUCUCUGACUACCCAGGAUUGAAAGAUGUUGUUUCAGCUGGAGAAUUUAAAACGGGUUCUUACUCACUUUUUGCUAAAAGAGACUGGGCUGCUUUCAGUGUUGUAAUCCAUAGGCAUGGAGAAGGGUCACCACCUGAUCUUGUUAAGGAGAUCAUGAGGUUAAAGCUGUGGCAGGGUCCUUUCUCAAAACUCUGGCUCUUCUCAGAAUAAUGUUUGGCCAGGUGUUAAUCUGUGUCCUGAGGGGAAGUUCUGGAAUUCGUUAUUCAUCCCUGGGGGUAGGGGUAGGAGGAGGAGUUGCCCUUCUGGGAGGGGACUGGGGCCAGGACCUGCCUCCUGCCUUUACUGACAUGUGCCAUUUGUGAUGAAGGCGGCUGAAGCCCAUUUGAGGAGUUCUCCUGUCAGCCAGCCAAGAGAGCAACCCAGAGGGAGAGAGAGAGGAGGGAGAGGCAGACUGCUCUGCAAGGCAGUCCUGGAGUGCAGUUUCCGGAGCGAUAUCGCACCGCGCUGUAGGCGCCAAGGGAAGGUGUAUAGGAACAUUAGGCGGAAGGAGGCCAGAUUAAUAGUGCAUUUUCCUGUGUCUUUGCCUUCAGCCCCUCCUUUGAAUACAUGUCAUCCUUUGGAAAACUCAGCAUCUGGAAGAAGCCUUUGCUGAAAAGCGGCUUUUUCUUCUGCAUUCUACUGUUUUUGUUUUUUCUCUUCCUCUUUUUAUUUUUAUUUUUUUCCUAUCUCCUUUUCCUCUGAGAGCAGGAGGUGAGACAAUGAUCAAGUCAAGCUGGUUCUAUGUUAAGUUCAAGUAUGCAGAGAAGCUCAAGCCAGGGCAGAACAGCUGCAGGGACAGUGACAGUGAGAGCGCCAGUGGAGAAUCCAAAGGCUUCCACAGGAGCAGCUCCCGGGAAAGGCUCAGCGACAGUUCAGCUCCUUCCAGCUUGGGAACAGGCUACUUCGCUGCAGUUCUGUAGCUUGGGUAACGGUCAGAGGAACUCUAAUGCCAGAACAAAUGAUGCUGCUAAACGGAAAGAGCAGGAGUCUUCUCUCUACAAAAUGCCUCACAAAGGAGACUUUCUUUGCUCCUCUUGGUACAUGUGGUAAGUAUAGAAAUAGUUUAUUAUGAAAGUCUUUCAGCCACAGGUCUUUCUAAGGCAUAACUGUACCCUCCAGGGAAACCAAAAUAAAUACCAGCCUAAUAAACUUCAGAUUUUUAAAAAUAAGUUAUCCUAUUGCAUUUCUGCAAGAAGGAAAAAUAUGAGAGGUUGACGUGUGUUCUUAUUCUGCUUUGAUUUACUUCCCAUGAUGUCCCUUCCCAACCCGGGCUUAAAGUAGAGGAAAAUACUUCACCAUUUGAAGAAGAAUGAUGGUACAAAAUCCAAUCUUUUGGAAAAGAAGGUGACUUUUCUUAAAACAAAACUCAUACACACACACUUGGUUUUCUCCUGGAGUUUGGUUUUACAUACUCACACACACACUCACACACUCACUCACUGUAUUUCUUCCAAAGGGAGUCUUCCAUCCAGGCUUUCAUUUAUUUGUUUCUAAUAUGGUUAUGGUCCACCUGGUCCUCUAGCAAGCUUUCUCUGCCCUUUCUGAGUGCCAGUCCUGAUCUCUCCUCCUCUCCAGUUCUUUCACUAAGGCCUUUGUUGUUGUUCAGUCAGGUCCAGCUCUUUGCAGUCCCAUGGACUGCUGCACACCAGACUUCUCUGUCCUUCACUAUCUCCCAAAGUUUGCUCAAACCCUUGGCUUCUCCUGUCUCCCUGCCCAGUCUGGGCCUUCUGUACGAACUGCAGCCUGCAUUCUGCCAGCCCUUCAGCUGCAUAAUGACUGUCACGUUCCAGCUCUAGGGUAUGUCAGUGGUCUGACUUCUAUGCUUUCUCCACUGCCCUUUCUCAACCUUUUAGACUAAUUACCUUGUCAUCUUUAUUUAUUAUUUUUCGCUGCACCACUCAGUGUAUGAGAUCUUAAUUCCCUAGGGCUCAAACCUGCACCUCCUACAUCAGAAGCUCAGAAUCUUAACCACUGGACCACCAGGGAAGUCCCUGUUGUUCAUAUCCUUAAAUGUGACUGGCCCCCCAAGAUUCUUCUGCCUGUUCAUUAUUAUUUUUGCUUUAUUUUGUUAAAGAUACGAGAAAUAAUCCAUAUCCAUGCACCCAUCUCCCAGCUUGAAAAGUAUAUCAUUUCCAGGACAGUUGAUGCCCCUGUUGUAAUUGUGAUCAUAUGCUCCUCUCAGAACCCAUGGGUAAUAACCACAAUUAUUCUGGAUUUGUUUAUGUUAUGAAUUUCUUUAUACAUAUAUCCUGUAGAUGUAAAUCAACAC